GUCCUGACUUUACUAUCAGCUUUAACCCAAUUUAUACAUGCAAGUCUCCGCACCCCUGUGAGAAUGCCCUCAAUCCCCUGCCCGGGGACGAGGAGCAGGCAUCAGGCACAUCCUCUACAGAUCGCGCCCAAGACGCCUUGCUACGCCACUCCCCCAAGGGAACUCAGCAGUAAUAGACAUUAAGCCAUAAGUGCAAACUUGACUUAGUUAGGGUUAUUAGGGCCGGUAAAAUUCGUGCCAGCCACCGCGGUUAUACGAAAGACCCUAGUUGCUAGCCACGGCGUAAAGGGUGGUUAAGGACAACAACAAAUAAAGCUAAAGAUCCCCUAAGCCGUCAUACGCAUUCCGGGGGCACGAAGCCCUAACACGAAAGUAGCUUUAAAAAAUAUACCUGACCCCACGAAAGCUAAGAAACAAACUGGGAUUAGAUACCCCACUAUGCUUAGCCUUAAACCCAGAUGUAUCCUUACACACACAUCCGCCCGGGUACUACGAGCAUAGCUUAAAACCCAAAGGACUUGGCGGUGUCUCAGACCCACCUAGAGGAGCCUGUUCUAUAACCGAUAA
This 567-nucleotide ribosomal RNA is filed under the name Ameiurus nebulosus (brown bullhead). RNAcentral describes it as "partial small subunit ribosomal RNA". It matches the Rfam family "Bacterial small subunit ribosomal RNA", at positions 16 to 957 of the family's 1533-position model. Lineage: Eukaryota; Metazoa; Chordata; Actinopteri; Siluriformes; Ictaluridae. The record is from RNAcentral.